AGGAAAGCAGGGGAUCGCAAGACCUUGCGCUUUUGGAGCAGCCGAUGUCUGAUUAGCUAGUUGGUGAGGUAAAGGCUUACCAAGGCUUCGAUCAGUAGCUGGUCUGAGAGGACGACCAGCCACACUGGGACUGAGACACGGCCCAGACUCCUACGGGAGGCAGCAGUGGGGAAUUUUGGACAAUGGGGGAAACCCUGAUCCAGCCAUGCCGCGUGAGUGAAGAAGGCCUUCGGGUUGUAAAGCUCUUUCAGCCGGAACGAAAAGGUUACGGUUAAUACCCGUGACUAAUGACGGUACCGGAAGAAGAAGCACCGGCUAACUACGUGCCAGCAGCCGCGGUAAUACGUAGGGUGCGAGCGUUAAUCGGAAUUACUGGGCGUAAAGCGUGCGCAGGCGGUUUUGUAAGUCAGAUGUGAAAUCCCCGGGCUCAACCUGGGAACUGCGUUUGAAACUACAAGGCU
This 461-nucleotide ribosomal RNA is filed under the name uncultured beta proteobacterium. RNAcentral's name for it is "bacterial SSU rRNA". It matches the Rfam family "Bacterial small subunit ribosomal RNA", at positions 200 to 642 of the family's 1533-position model. The record is from RNAcentral. Lineage: Bacteria; Pseudomonadati; Pseudomonadota; Betaproteobacteria.